GAUGAACGCUAGCGGCAGGCCUAAUACAUGCAAGUCGAACGGUUGUAGUGAUACAAUAGUGGCGCACGGGUGCGUAACACGUAUGCAACCUACCUUAUAGACGGGGAUAGCCUUUGGAAACGGAGAUUAAUACCCGAUAGUAACCUUGAUUGGCAUCAAUUAAUGUUUAAAGAUUUAUCGCUAUAAGCUGGGCAUGCGUCCAAUUAGUUAGUUGGUUAGGUAAUGGCUGACCAAGACGAUGAUUGGUAGGGGAACUGAGAGGUUAAUCCCCCACACUGGCACUGAGAUACGGGCCAGACUCCUACGGGAGGCAGCAGUAGGGAAUAUUGGGCAAUGGAGGCAACUCUGACCCAGCCAUGCCGCGUGCAGGAUGAAGGCGUUAUGCGUUGUAAACUGCUUUUAUAUAGGAAGAAAUAGACCUUGCGAGGUAAGUUGACGGUACUAUAUGAAUAAGCACCGGCUAACUCCGUGCCAGCAGCCGCGGUAAUACGGAGGGUGCAAGCGUUGUCCGGAUUUAUUGGGUUUAAAGGGUGCGUAGGCGGUUUAUUAAGUCAGUGGUGAAAGACGGUCGCUCAACGAUUGCAGUGCCAUUGAUACUGGUAGACUUGAGUGAGAUUGAGGUAGCUGGAAUGGAUAGUGUAGCGGUGAAAUGCAUAGAUAUUAUCCAGAACACCAAUUGCGUAGGCAAGUUACUAAGUCUCAACUGACGCUGAGGCACGAAAGUGUGGGUAUCAAACAGGAUUAGAUACCCUGGUAGUCACACUGUAAACGAUGAUACUAACUGUGNUUUCGGGUCAGUG
Molecule: ribosomal RNA, 800 nt
Filed under: uncultured bacterium
Lineage: Bacteria
Description: bacterial SSU rRNA
Rfam family: Bacterial small subunit ribosomal RNA
Source: RNAcentral